UACGUAGGGGGCUAGCGUUGUCCGGAAUCAUUGGGCGUAAAGCGCGUGUAGGCGGUUCGGUAAGUCCGCUGUGAAAGUCGGGGGCUCAACCCUCGAAUGCUGGUGGAUACUGUCGGGCUAGAGUGCGGAAGAGGCGAGUGGAAUUCCUGGUGUAGCGGUGAAAUGCGCAGAUAUCAGGAGGAACACCAAUUGCGAAGGCAGCUCGCUGGGACGCUACUGACGCUGAGACGCGAAAGCGUGGGGAGCAAACAGG
RNAcentral lists this ribosomal RNA (253 nucleotides) under uncultured bacterium. RNAcentral describes it as "partial 16S ribosomal RNA". It matches the Rfam family "Bacterial small subunit ribosomal RNA", at positions 524 to 776 of the family's 1533-position model. The record is from RNAcentral.